This is an RNA transcript of Micropterus salmoides (largemouth bass), 4181 nucleotides long. RefSeq lists it as uncharacterized. Lineage: Eukaryota; Metazoa; Chordata; Actinopteri; Centrarchiformes; Centrarchidae. The transcript is spliced from 3 exons. The record is from RefSeq and is a predicted model, not a curated record.
GCAUGCAAAAAUCUAUCAGUUUUUUUCCUGGGAGGAUCAAAAUUGUUUUCCACAAGGGACCUCUGGGGUACCUUCUGCAGCAUCCAACUGAUGCAGCUAAGCUGUCAAUCCUUCUCUGCAGGACAGGUCUGCACCUCUGUGGGAGGACAUAGUCAAACAAAAUGCCCUGACUGUGGUCUGUCAGAGAGGAGGGGAUGCCUCAGACAGGACAGAGGUGCUGGGGGACUACAUUCUGCAGUUUGGUGAAUAUAAGGGAAAAUCCUUCCGGUGGCUUUUGGAAAACAAUGUAAGCUACACAAUCUACCUCAUCAAGCACACAGAGAAAGAAUAGGCUGCAGGGGUGUUAAAGACUGAGGGGCAGAGUAAGGCCAGUUUAUUGUCCUUUGUGGGUAAUGCCUGCAGCUUUGACGAAAUCCAAAGACUUCUAUCUUAUGAGUCAGAAAAGCCCGCUGCUCGAGCAGCCUCAGAGGAUGACCAGCUGGUUGGCUUUGGCAUUCUUACCGAGAGCACCUGGCGGGAGUUGUGGGAAAGCAAGGCUGAUGGCUAUGCAGCCUUCAUCCAGUUUUUCAGGGACUCAGAUGUUAAGACUGCAGCAGUACCUGAGGAAGAAAGAGUCAGCCUCUGUCUCCUCUCCACCAAUUCUUGCCCCAAGCGCACCUGAUGAAGCCAUGAGUAGGUUUCUUUCAAUAUACACAAAAUGUGUUCGUUUUUUGUAACUGUACAUCAAAAUAUAAGUCAGUCAUGGAACAUGUGCUUUUAAACAAAAUAAUAGUAAAAUUUCUGGAUAUAAGUAGUUGGACCUGUUCUUAUCAUCAGAAGUGUGGAUGAGGACAGAUCUCCAAUCUCUGGGACUGUGGCCUGGAUUCCACCAUAUGCUCAAGCCAGGAAAUGCUCUUUCAUUAUGGCGUCUCCCUCCACAGCCAGAACUCAGUGACACUGUAUCGGCACUCCCAUUCCGUAUAAAGCCAGAUAUAGUCUCAGCUGGUGUAGGCAGGCCUCGAGUGAUAGUUGGCACCAGUGGGCAAUACUACAUCUUUGCUUCACGUCUUCGCUGCAGGAUGUGCAACAGGAUAUGGUUUGCUGACAGUACUCAGUGGUUGGAUAAACUGCCGAAGCGGUUCACAAACAUUCUGCCAGCAUUCCUAACCUACAAGAAGUCCAUUUACAAGUCUGUGCUUCUUGAGCUGAGGCACACUGGCAAGUCACCCUCAGACAUGGCAAACCAGGUGAAUGAGCUGAUUCACCUUAAAUUUGAACAAGCUCAUCUGGCAUACCUUUGCAGCAUACAGAAUGUCCGGGAUGAGGCUGGGGUCUACGGGCAGACGACUCUUAGUCACUUUGUGAGGAAGGAUGACACACCACAGUCACCACAGAGCCUAUCAAAACACAGAUGAGUGGUGUGGAGUCUCUGUCUCUGCUCACUAUCUGACUGAUUGCCUUAUUGAUAAGUGCCAGCGCCAGCUGACAGCUAUCACUAAACUCCUGCAGGGCACUUUUGGACAGGUCUUUCAGUCUGAAUACACCGGGAAUGUGGCACGAAAAGUUACUUUGACAUCUGGCACCAUGUCAAGCUAUGCAGCUAUGAACUAGAAUUGGAUGAUUGCCUCCUUGGUGAUGGUGCAGUCUGAGGCAGAGAAAUCCCUUGAACCCAUGUACCAGGGGUUAGCCAAGACGUACAGUGAUGCAGGGGUGGAGAAGGCCAAUUACCACUGGGUAGGCAGGGAUUGCAGCGAUCUUCACCAUGGAGAACACCUCAACUGGGAUGCCUGGAGGACCACACAGUCUAUCACCUAUGAGGGCACUGAUGGGACUCUGGUGAACACCUGUGCAUCCUGUACACAGUACAACCCCAACAUUGUGGUCCAGAUAGAUUUGUUUCACUGUAUGAGAUGUUUCACACAGGAGUGCACUUCAGAGCAUCAUCCCCUGUACAGCACCUUUGUCAGCUCCUCUCCACUGCCUUUUCUGUCGUGGAUCAGGAAGACCCGCUGAAGCUGAAAGAUGCUAAUCGGUUCUAUGGAAUUCAGCCACCAAACCCUACAAACCAGCACACCAGAAAGCACUGUAGGACCAGAAUUCCACUGCCAACAGAACUGGUUGAUAGAGCAUUUCCACCUGACCACAAACUCAUGCUCUAAAUGCUAAAGACGUGGCGGAUCCAGAAGGUGCACAUACUUGGUGGGCGGCUCAGUGACCCUGAGAUCAAAGAGGGAAUCCUGUACAAGUAUGGGGAAACUCUGCAGCUUAAUCAUGUCCCUGGUGAAGGUGUAUAAGUCCCAAUCUGGAUUCCAGUCAAGGGAACAUCACAACAGGAGGGGUAUCAUUUCCACCGGUCCCAUUGGAUUACUGGAACAACUCGUGUGUCCUGCGAAAUGCCAGAGUGCCAUCCAGUUCAACUUGAUUGGAACAAACAUAGGGUGCAAAGGAAAGAUGAUUCUUCUGUUCUUCUGCCUCUCCCCUCUGGCCCAACACCAUCCACAAACCCAGCACCACCCACUGUUGUGACUGUGAGGUUUAAGUUCUUCCAACUUAAACCUGCUGCAAUCACUAAGCUACAGAUGUUGUCACAAGGAAGCAUGGAACCUCCAGAUAAAAUAGAAACCUCAAAAACUCCACCCCUGCUAUUGCAGUCCUCAUCAAGAUAUGCCCACACUGGAUCAAUCAAGACUGGUGGACAAGUGUUCGUCUUGGACCACAAACGCUGGACAUCACCAAUGAAGGAGGCUAUCUAUGGCCUCCUAGUCAAGUAUCAUGGACAGAAAGACACGUUCAAGCUUGUAGAUCAAGACUACGUAGCUAUGGUCCAUCGGCCUGCCACAAAUCCAAACAGUCUUCUUCACCCCACAACCAAAUACCAUAUAACACAGUACAUAAAACACCAGGCUAAAGAGUUGAACGCAAGCUCAUCUCUGAACACCAGUCCAGAAAAACCUUUGGAGACACAAAAACUGUGGCAAAGUUUAACAGAGGGAGUGCUCAUGUCCCAGUUGUAGAACUGCCACCAGCCAUUGUGAAUCCAGCAGAUCCGGUCUCGCUGCCAGCAUCUGAAAAGCCACUAACACAGGAGAAUGUACAGAAAAUGGUAUAGGACAUAAGCAGCAGCAACAAAAACCCAGACAGACGAAAAAAUUCCUCUCGUGCAGGCAUCCAAAAUCCCGUAACCAAAGAUCAUCAGUUCAUCACUUUCAUCAACAAGGGCAAGUGUUUAAAGCCUAUUCUAAGGAGAGACUGACAAAUCCCAGAAUGGCUUUUGAGAAGUUUGCGCAGACUGACUUUUUUCGGCAUGAACUGCAAUUAAUAAAGCGCAGAGUGGAGGAAAACUCUGAGAAGACGAGGAAACUAUCAGAGCCUCAACAUCAGGGAAGAAUGUGCCAUUUCUGUUGCACAGAGCUGAAACAGGGCCGAACAACACAUUCACAAAGGGUUCCCAGGAGUGGCUGGGAAAAACAUUUACUGCCCAAUCAAAGUCCUUGCUUUAUAAAAAGACAGAAGUAUGACCAAUGAAAUUACCUAAAGGGUUUUAAGCCCCGUCAUUCUAUGGCGUGGGAAAGGAGAGGUGGGCAGCAGAGAGAAAGAAAUUGUAAAUCUGAGGUUUUGUGGAUAGACUUACAUACAUUUCAUAUUUUAAUAAUGUGUUGUUCAUGUUGCAGCAUUCUGUUGCUCCAUCCAUUUGUUUCAAAUACUGUAAAACUUUUAACAAUAAAUAGCACAGUCCCAAACACAUUUUGACAAAUAAACGCAGGUCCCCAUUAAACACAUGGUCUGGUUUUCAUAUAAGUUCUUUAGAUGCAUAAAACCUCCUAAACCCUGCUGGGUCGCCCACUUUAGCUGCUUCUUAGUUGCUUAGAUUGUUCAAAAAAAUAUUAAUGUUAAGACUAAACGUAUGAUCAAUAUGUCAAAAUGAACAUGCUACACAUCCUUGGUUAGAUGCUCAACAGAUCAAUCGUUCAGUUCAUUUAACAGAAACAACAAGCCCCAAACUUUUAUUCUUAUAGAUUUACCAGUGUAACCUCACCUGCAUGGUACAAGAGAUGAAAAGGAAAAUGAAGUGCCGACUCCUGUUACCUUUGAAGCGCUCGUUAAGUCUGCUUGUUAAGUCCCAAUGUGUCCCUUCCUUUAUUAUUUAUAUUCCUUUGGUCUGUAAGGGUCCAGGGUUUUGAAGAAUCAAAACAGCUUUUCAU